This 262-nucleotide unclassified non-coding RNA is filed under the name Hevea brasiliensis (rubber tree). Lineage: Eukaryota; Viridiplantae; Streptophyta; Magnoliopsida; Malpighiales; Euphorbiaceae. The record is from RNAcentral.
GAAAAGCUUAAACGUUAUUUUGGGCCUUGAAAAUAUUAAGGCAGGUAUCCAAUAAUCCAUUUGAUCUCAUGUUGGAAAUAGGCCUGCAAUUCAUUUUAAAUUGGAAGAAUCAACUAUGAGUUCAAGUACUAUUACCAGUGAUCUUUGGCAUCUUUGCUUCCAAUGGAAAGCAAUUCUUUAGGAGACGCAAGUAUGCAGUACAAGGCUAUGAGCUCAAACAAAGUUUGGCUGAAUUUGAUUGCCACAGCUUCCGUACUAAUUC